This 253-nucleotide ribosomal RNA is filed under the name uncultured bacterium. Its description in RNAcentral is "partial 16S ribosomal RNA". It matches the Rfam family "Bacterial small subunit ribosomal RNA", at positions 524 to 776 of the family's 1533-position model. The record is from RNAcentral.
UACAGAGGGUGCGAGCGUUGUUCGGAAUUAUUGGGCGUAAAGCGCUUGUAGGCGGCACGUCAAGUCGCGUGUGAAAUCCCCAGGCUUAACCUGGGAAGUGCGCGCGAAACUGACGAGCUUGAGUGCCGGAGAGGGUCGCAGAAUUCCCGGUGUAGAGGUGAAAUUCGUAGAUAUCGGGAGGAACACCAGUGGCGAAGGCGGCGACCUGGACGGACACUGACGCUGAGACGCGAAAGCGUGGGGAGCAAACAGG